RNAcentral lists this ribosomal RNA (462 nucleotides) under Streptococcus mitis. Its description in RNAcentral is "bacterial SSU rRNA". It matches the Rfam family "Bacterial small subunit ribosomal RNA", at positions 28 to 474 of the family's 1533-position model. Lineage: Bacteria; Bacillati; Bacillota; Bacilli; Lactobacillales; Streptococcaceae. The record is from RNAcentral.
GACGAACGCUGGCGGCGUGCCUAAUACAUGCAAGUAGAACGCUGAAGGAGGAGCUUGCUUCUCUGGAUGAGUUGCGAACGGGUGAGUAACGCGUAGGUAACCUGCCUGGUAGCGGGGGAUAACUAUUGGAAACGAUAGCUAAUACCGCAUAACAGUAGAUGUUGCAUGACAUUUGCUUAAAAGGUGCAAUUGCAUCACUACCAGAUGGACCUGCGUUGUAUUAGCUAGUUGGUGGGGUAACGGCUCACCAAGGCGACGAUACAUAGCCGACCUGAGAGGGUGAUCGGCCACACUGGGACUGAGACACGGCCCAGACUCCUACGGGAGGCAGCAGUAGGGAAUCUUCGGCAAUGGACGGAAGUCUGACCGAGCAACGCCGCGUGAGUGAAGAAGGUUUUCGGAUCGUAAAGCUCUGUUGUAAGAGAAGGACGAGUGUGAGAGUGGAAAGUUCACACUGUGACG